CAGUUCGUACCCGGUGGGUUAAUCAGCCCUUCCGGCGUGGAUUAUGGGGGAGCGUGGAGGAGUUAAACGCCCCUCCAUGCCUGCAUAUUCGUGGUUCUUUGGGGUGUACUUACCCGCAUGGGUAGGUUAACAUCAAUUUCGAACGUCAUAAAAUGGUUGGAGGAAUGUAGCUCCGAUCUCGUAUUGAAGUGUUAUAGCCUUCGGCAGAUGUGAUGAUCGGAAUUGAGGAUUGCAACGGAUACCCCUCGGGCUACCCGUCUGAUCUCUGAAAGUUACUCUGGUGCCGAAAGCUCGCUUACGGUCAUCAAAGUUGACGUUCAACAGGUUAGAACGGGAUAAA
Molecule: ribosomal RNA, 340 nt
Filed under: uncultured Glomus
Lineage: Eukaryota; Fungi; Glomeromycota; Glomeromycetes; Glomerales; Glomeraceae
Description: eukaryotic LSU rRNA
Source: RNAcentral